GGAAUUGGAACCAGGUGUGAUGGAAAACAAGACAAAACCAAUGGAAAAUUAAAAGUGGAUUGGCGAUGGCAAGAAUGUCGGUGACGUCGACCACCGAACGCCGCCCGAACAAGGAGAGGCGGAAGUCGUGACAGUGCUUCCCCUAUAUCAAGACCUUAUGCACUAUGCUUUUCCGUUUGCUAACUUUUAGUAUACCACAGGUCAGCAUAGUUUACCAGUCUAACAGUCUAUCCUGCCCUCUAUCCACAAUUCAAAGUGACAAUAAUGGGACAAUACAAUUAUCCUACCUAUGCUAGCCUACAACACCAGGUGGCGCCGUUUCUGGAGGCGGUGGAUCUUCUGGACCAACUAUUGAGGAAGUCGACUAAACCAUUCCAACGUUAUUGCAACUACCUCCCCCUAGCAUGCAAGGUUUGAAAUAUGUUCUUUGCUCUUGUGGCGUUGAGUCAACAUUCUAGCCUACUCUAUGCUGCAGUGAAAGAGUCAUUUGAAUAACAGUGCAAAAGCACUGUGAUAUGAAUGUUUCAUUAGAUUUGGAUGAGUUGUGGGUCUACUCUUGGCAGUUUGUAAGGUCUAGAAAGGAACAGUAGCAGGCCAGUCUGGCUGUAUUUUUACUUUUGAUACUGAAUGCGCUGUUUGUUGAGAUAAUCAUUCACCCAAGUCGUCCUAUAAUAAUGUGGCCACAUAUGCUCCCGGCAUGCCCAGUUAUCCAGGAAAGUUUAACACGUUCUGCUUCCUCUCCGGCUAUUCUUCAAACACCUAGAACCUAACGCUUCAAUAUAGCCAAAAUAUGUAUCAUGUAACUGUUUAGAUGUAUUACCUUUUAUAUAUAUGGCAUAAACACAUCCAGUCACGAUGUUUGAAUCAGAUUAGGCUACUUCAAAAGCUUCAUGUAGGCAUACGCACAUUCAUUCAAGAAUUCCAACAUCCUCAAAAUGGCUUGACAUUAACCAGGUUUCCUUUCAACCUUUUUAUGCGAGUAAAGUAGCCUACAUGUCUGAUAGAAAAAUGUCACCACGUCAUGGGAAAGCAUGCAGUUUACUAGGAUACAGAUGCAAUAAGUUAAGAUGAACUUCACAGGGUGGUGAAACUGCACAGUGAUGAAGUUGAUGCUGCUUUCAAUAAAUAUCGAGGAUCUUGUUUUGGUGACAUGGUGAUCAAUGCUUGGCUCCCAUUUGAAAAAAGAAAGAAAAUAAUCUGGCACUUCUGUCCAUAAUAAUCUCAUCAUGUAGUAGAACUGGAGCGCACCCGCCAAUACCAGAGUGGGCACAUUCGCUACGCAACAUGUUUUGUGACAAAACCAUAAGUAAGACUUGAAAAUGUGAUGGAAACCCGGUACAUUUAUUCGAUACAUGGGAAUUUUCAUGUGCACUACAUAUUUACACACAUACUUUUAUCUUCAACAAGUACAUUUGAUGGAACACUAUGACUUUUCAAAUCACCCUCUGAUGGGAAAAUGCUCCAUGGGUUCCCUUAGCUGGUAAUUGCCUGCAUUUGGCUGAGAUUUUUUUAAAUUAAAGCAGAUAAAUAAAAUUGUAGCAGGACAAAUUGUCCAGGAGAGGCUGUCUAUCAUAGCCUACACCCCGAAUUGGCGCUUCAGUACCAAUCUCUCUCGCCUUGCUCAGACAUGCGCCUGCUGCUGAGGAGAGGGAGAGAGAGAGGAACAGAGGAGCUUGGCCUAGGCUACAGAUACUUGCAAAGAUGGAGGCCUUUUUCAAGUCAACCAAAAGUUAGAUGAAAAAGAGGAUGUCUAUAUUGAAAAGCCUACAAGAGGAAUUUUAUACGAGUUUUAAUAUUGUAGUGGACUAAGAUAAAAAGAAUGCAGACUACUGUGCAACUCCCUAUUCAGGUAGGAUGCAAUUUUGGAACUAAAAUGUAGUUUAAUCAUUUAGUUUAAUCAUCAGAGUUUUAUCAUAAUAAUAAUUAUUGUAUAUCAUUGUUAUUAUUGUAAGCCUAUUUAUUAAUCGAAAACAGUUCUUUAAAUAUGCAAAAUCUGUUUUGUUUAAUUCUGUUGAGACAUUUUCAUUGGCUAAAUUAAAUGUUAACUGUCUUUUAAUUUUGAGCUCCGUCUUUAGUUUAAGAUAUGUUAUUUAUUUUACAACAGACCUACUUAUAACCUUAGCCUAUUUCUGUCAUUUUUGGUAUGGUAGCCACUUGUCUUUGUUAGUAAUUGCUGCAAUAUAGCUUGUUCAAAACUUUUGUUAAGGUUUAAACCCGUUUGCAAGUGUUUUGUUUCAUUCUGUUGAGCAAUUUCCUUCAGCCAAAGUAUCCUGCAGUCAAAUGACUUAGUGGCCUCAUGGGUGGAAUGUUACUAAUAUUUUUCAUGAUUUCAUAAUUAAUACACUUAAAAAAAAAAAAGCUGCAGAUAAUCUGGUGUUUCUAUGUCAAACUGUUUUGUUAUAUUUCAGUCUUCUGUGAUAUGUAUAAAGUGUAAUAUUUGUAUGCAAACUCAAAAUGUAAUACAUUUCAUCUCUAUAUCUGACAUUGUACAGGUGUCUUCUUUUUUUAAGCCCAUAACCAUGUGUUUGAGGUGAAUACUUUUGUUUCAAAGUACACUUGUUUAAGACUACCAAGAAACACUCUGUGUGACCCUGAUUUAGCCCGCUGCAGUAAAAGGUUUUUCAGUUCCAACUGUAAUGCUGUGUUUGCCACAAUAUAAUAGUCCGCUCAUAUUUUCACUAUAAACAAUGACUUGACUCACUUUUUGAUAUUACCC
This 2716-nucleotide long non-coding RNA is filed under the name Salmo salar (Atlantic salmon). Its description in RNAcentral is "lncRNA (ENSSSAG00000106731.1, ENSSSAG00020047854.1)". The record is from RNAcentral. Lineage: Eukaryota; Metazoa; Chordata; Actinopteri; Salmoniformes; Salmonidae.